ACUCCUACGGGAGGCAGCAGUGGGGAAUAUUGGACAAUGGGCGGAAGCCUGAUCCAGCAACGCCGCGUGAGGGAUGACGGCCUUCGGGUUGUAAACCUCUUUCAGCACCGACGAAGCGAGCCUUUGGGUGAGUGACGGUAGGUGUAGAAGAAGGACCGGCCAACUACGUGCCAGCAGCCGCGGUAAUACGCAGGGUCCGAGCGUUGUCCGGAAUUAUUGGGCGUAAAGGGCUCGUA
RNAcentral lists this ribosomal RNA (236 nucleotides) under uncultured bacterium. Its description in RNAcentral is "partial 16S ribosomal RNA". It matches the Rfam family "Bacterial small subunit ribosomal RNA", at positions 335 to 573 of the family's 1533-position model. The record is from RNAcentral.